Molecule: small nucleolar RNA, 119 nt
Organism: Cavia aperea (Brazilian guinea pig)
Lineage: Eukaryota; Metazoa; Chordata; Mammalia; Rodentia; Caviidae
Source: Ensembl
GGAGUAUGCUCAAAGGAGGUGGCUUAAAGAAUAGCUCCUCUGCCUACAACACACCCCACAGGAAAUGUAGGGUCAUUGUGAUGAGGAGGCACAAAGCUUUGAGCAAAUGUCAUCUGGAU